CUUAAGGAAUGCGACUUCGGUCAAAUGACUUUUGAACUUAGUGGCGGACGGGUGAGUAACGCGUGAGCAACCUGCCUUUCAGAGGGGGAUAACAUUUGGAAACAGAUGCUAAUACCGCAUAAGAUUACAGUACCGCAUGAUACAGUGAUCAAAGGAGCAAUCCGCUGAAAGAUGGGCUCGCGUCCGAUUAGAUAGUUGGUGAGGUAACGGCUCACCAAGUCGACGAUCGGUAGCCGGACUGAGAGGUUGAACGGCCACAUUGGGACUGAGACACGGCCCAGACUCCUACGGGAGGCAGCAGUGGGGAAUAUUGCACAAUGGGCGAAAGCCUGAUGCAGCAACGCCGCGUGAGGGAAGACGGUUUUCGGAUUGUAAACCUCUGUUUUCGGUGACGAACAAAUGACGGUAACCGAGUAGGAAGCCACGGCUAACUACGUGCCAGCAGCCGCGGUAAUACGUAGGUGGCAAGCGUUAUCCGGAAUUACUGGGUGUAAAGGGAGCGCAGGCGGGAUAGCAAGUCAGCUGUGAAAACUAUGGGCUCAACCCAUAAACUGCAGUUGAAACUGUUAUUCUUGAGUGGAGUAGAGGCAAGCGGAAUUCCGAGUGUAGCGGUGAAAUGCGUAGAUAUUCGGAGGAACACCAGUGGCGAAGGCGGCUUGCUGGGCUCUAACUGACGCUGAGGCUCGAAAGUGUGGGGAGCAAACAGGAUUAGAUACCCUGGUAGUCCACACUGUAAACGAUGAUUGCUAGGUGUGGGGGGUCUGACCCCCUCCGUGCCGGAGUUAACGCAAUAAGCAAUCCACCUGGGGAGUACGGCCGCAAGGUUGAAACUCAAAUGAAUUGACGG
This 847-nucleotide ribosomal RNA is filed under the name uncultured bacterium. RNAcentral's name for it is "bacterial SSU rRNA". It matches the Rfam family "Bacterial small subunit ribosomal RNA", at positions 47 to 916 of the family's 1533-position model. The record is from RNAcentral.